CACGUAGUUAGCCGGUGCUUAUUCUUACGGUACCGUCAUGACCCCUCUUUAUUAGAAAGAGGCUUUUCGUUCCGUACAAAAAGCAGUUUACAACCCGAAGGCCUUCAUCCUGCACGCGGCAUGGCUGGAUCAGGCUUUCGCCCAUUGUCCAAAAUUCCCCACUGCUGCCUCCCGUAGGAGUCUGGGCCGUGUCUCAGUCCCAGUGUGGCUGAUCAUCCUCUCAGACCAGCUAUAGAUCGUCGGCUUGGUAAGCUUUUAUCCCACCAACUACCUAAUCUGCCAUCGGCCGCUCCGUCCGCGCGAGGUCCGAAGAUCCCCCGCUUUCAUCCGUAGAUCGUAUGCGGUAUUAGCAAAGCUUUCGCCUCGUUAUCCCCCACGACUCGGGCACGUUCCGAUGUAUUACUCACCCGUUCGCCACUCGUCAGCAUCCGAAGACCUGUUACCGUUCGACUUGCAUGCGUAAGGCAUGCCGCCAGCGUUCAAGUCUGAGCCAGGAUACAAACUCUACG
RNAcentral lists this ribosomal RNA (509 nucleotides) under uncultured Diaphorobacter sp. RNAcentral describes it as "partial 16S ribosomal RNA". The record is from RNAcentral. Lineage: Bacteria; Pseudomonadati; Pseudomonadota; Betaproteobacteria; Burkholderiales; Comamonadaceae.